This 144-nucleotide ribosomal RNA is filed under the name Zoogloea ramigera. RNAcentral's name for it is "partial 16S ribosomal RNA". It matches the Rfam family "Bacterial small subunit ribosomal RNA", at positions 19 to 164 of the family's 1533-position model. Lineage: Bacteria; Pseudomonadati; Pseudomonadota; Betaproteobacteria; Rhodocyclales; Zoogloeaceae. The record is from RNAcentral.
CUGGCUCAGAUUGAACGCUGGCGGCAUGCCUUACACAUGCAAGUCGAACGGCAGCGCGGGGCAACCUGGCGGCGAGUGGCGAACGGGUGAGUAAUAUAUCGGAACGUACCCUGGAGUGGGGGAUAACGUAGCGAAAGUUACGCU